Molecule: ribosomal RNA, 933 nt
Filed under: uncultured bacterium
Lineage: Bacteria
Description: bacterial SSU rRNA
Rfam family: Bacterial small subunit ribosomal RNA
Source: RNAcentral
UCAGACAUGCAAGUCGAAUGCGAAAGGUUCCUUCGGGAACCGAGUAGAGUGGCGCACGGGUGAGUAACACGUAGGUAAUUUGCCUUUGGGUGGGGAAUAACUCAGGGAAACUUGAGCUAAUACCGCAUAAUGCAGCGGCUCGACAUCGAGACAGUUGUUAAAGCGGGGGAUCGCAAGACCUCGCGCCUGAAGAGAAGCCUGCGGCAGAUUAGCUAGUUGGUAAGGUAAUGGCUUACCAAGGCGACAAUCUGUAACCGGCCUGAGAGGGCGGUCGGUCACACUGACACUGACAUACGGGUCAGACUCCUACGGGAGGCAGCAGUCGGGAAUUUUGGGCAAUGGGCGAAAGCCUGACCCAGCAACGCCGCGUGAAGGAUGAAAUUUUUCGGAAUGUAAACUUCGCAAGAACGGGAAGAAUAAGUAGAAGAUAAUACCUUCUAUGAUGACGGUACCGUUUGUAAGCUCCGGCUAACUCCGUGCCAGCAGCCGCGGUAAUACGGGGGGAGCAAGCGUUGUUCGGAUUUACUGGGCGUAAAGGGCGCGUAGGCGGUCGUGACAAGUCACUUGUGAAAUCUCCGGGCUUAACUCGGAACGGUCAAGUGAUACUGUCGGACUAGAGUACAGAAGGGGCAACUGGAAUUCUCGGUGUAGCGGUGAAAUGCGUAGAUAUCGAGAGGAACACCUGCGGCGAAGGCGGGUUGCUGGGCUGAUACUGACGCUGAGGCGCGAAAGCCAGGGGAGCGAACGGGAUUAGAUACCCCGGUAGUCCUGGCCUUAAACGAUGAAUGCUUGGUGUCUCGGGUUAUAAAGUCCCGGGGUGCCGUCGCUAACGCUUUUAGCAUUCCGCCUGGGGAGUACGGUCGCAAGACUGAAACUCAAAGGAAUUGACGGGGACCCGCACAAGCGGUGGAGCAUGUGGUUUAAUUCGACGCA